Molecule: microRNA precursor, 218 nt
Filed under: Hordeum vulgare
Lineage: Eukaryota; Viridiplantae; Streptophyta; Magnoliopsida; Poales; Poaceae
Description: miR6213 stem-loop (hvu-MIR6213)
Source: miRBase by way of RNAcentral
GAUUAGUCUUGAGGAUGAUCGUUUGGUCAUGCUGGGAAAGACAGAAACUUUCUGCUCCGGAAAAGAAUUUUUAUUUUUUUCUAUAAGAGAUUUUGAGUUGAUUCUUUUUGCUGCAGAUUGCUACACAAAUUCUUCAGACUGUCAUAAUUUUUCAGAAUUUUUGAAGUACCAGAGUUAUGCGAAACAUACAGAUUGCUACAGACUGGUCUGCUAUUAAC